This 75-nucleotide transfer RNA is filed under the name Acidimicrobiia bacterium. Its description in RNAcentral is "tRNA-Phe". The stretch from base 13 to 75 matches the Rfam family "tRNA". From Rfam's summary of the family: Transfer RNA (tRNA) molecules are approximately 80 nucleotides in length. The record is from RNAcentral. Lineage: Bacteria; Bacillati; Actinomycetota; Acidimicrobiia.
AUAAUCAAGUUAGGUCAUAUGGUUUACCCUUAUCUGAAAAACAAGGGGUCGGCAGUUCGAUUCUGCCUCUGGCCA